This 24-nucleotide non-coding RNA is filed under the name Arabidopsis thaliana (thale cress). The record is from RNAcentral. Lineage: Eukaryota; Viridiplantae; Streptophyta; Magnoliopsida; Brassicales; Brassicaceae.
ACAACAAACAUAUCUUGCCGACAC